UUGGAGGGCAAGUCUGGUGCCAGCAGCCGCGGUAAUUCCAGCUCCAAUAGCGUAUAUUAAAGUUGUUGCAGUUAAAAAGCUCGUAGUUGAAUUUCGGGAUCAAUAUGUCGGUCGUGCCUUCGGUACGUACUGGUAUCAUUGGUCUCUCCUUUCUGACGAACCAUGAUGUCAUUAAUUUGGUGUUAUGGGGAGUUAGGACUGUUACUUUGAAAAAAUUAGAGUGUUUAAAGCAGGCAUUUUUGCUUGAAUACAUUAGCAUGGAAUAAUAAAAUAGGACGGCAUGAUUCUAUUUUGUUGGUUUCUAGGAUCACCGUAAUGAUUAAUAGGGAUAGUUGGGGGCAUUAGUAUUCAAUUGUCAGAGGUGAAAUUCUUGGAUUUAUUAAAGACUAACUACUGCGAAAGCAUUUGCCAAGGAUGUUUUCAUUAAUCAAGAACGAAAGUUAGGGGAUCGAAGACGAUCAGAUACCGUCGUAGUCUUAACCAUAAACUAUGCCGACUAGGAAUCAGACGAUGUUAAUUUUUUAAUGACUCGUUUGGCACCUUACGGGAAACCAAAGUGUUUGGGUUC
This 568-nucleotide ribosomal RNA is filed under the name uncultured Glomeromycotina. RNAcentral's name for it is "SSU rRNA". It matches the Rfam family "Eukaryotic small subunit ribosomal RNA", at positions 548 to 1114 of the family's 1831-position model. The record is from RNAcentral. Lineage: Eukaryota; Fungi; Glomeromycota.